Long non-coding RNA from Gasterosteus aculeatus aculeatus (three-spined stickleback), 1490 nucleotides. The record is from Ensembl. NCBI's taxonomy places the organism in Eukaryota, Metazoa, Chordata, Actinopteri, Perciformes, Gasterosteidae.
UUUAGUUGUGUUGAUUUCAAAAAAAAGGCAGAGAAAAGUUGCUUAAUGUAGAAUUCAGCAAAAGAACGAUCUCGCUUGAAGUAGGCUGGUACACCAGGAGGGAGGGGGGAGGGUGGAGGGGAGAUGGGAAGGGAAGGGAGGGUAGGAAAGUGAUGCUUUGGGGUAGGAGACGGGGAACAAUGAGGUGGAGGAGAAGGAAAGGGAGAGGAUGAAGGGGAAGACAGGGGGAGAUCUGGAGGAGGAGAGGAGGCACAUGUUAAAGAGAGAGAGGGGAGAGGAGGGGAGUGAAAAGGAGGAGAAAGGGGGAUAUGAGCUGGCAAAGGUGGAAGGGAAUAAGGAGAUGGGAAGGUGGGAGAGGAAGGAGUAGAGGUGGAGAGGGAUAGGCGCGAAGGCCCAAGAGCGAGAGCAGAAAUAGAUGGAGAUGGAGGAGACGAGGGCAGAGGGAGGGCCGACUCAGGAAAGUGAUGAGGAAUAAACGGGUGAGGAGAGAAGAAAGAGGAGCAGCUAGAAGGGCUUCGAGGGGAGGAGGGGAGAGAUGGGGAGUUCGGCUGGGUUAAAAAGCAAGGGUGAAGAGGAGCGACAGGCAGGAAGUAAAGGAAAGGUGAGGAAGGGGGAGAAGGACAGUGAAAGAUGGAGGGAGAAGAGGCAGGAGGAGGGGAGGGGAGAGAGGAAGGGGUGAGGUGGCUUGGCUCGAAGGGGGGAGACGAAGGAAAGACGAAGGCAGGAGGGGUAUAGAGAGGGCAUUCCGGCCGGGGCGUUUGAGGACUCAGAGGGAACGUAGGAGAUCUAAGAAGCUUUGGAGCUACUAAAAUAAACACACCUCACCAGAGACAAAAGAAGAACAAACAGACAAAACUCAGCUGAAAAGACACACAAAAGAUGACGUAAAAUGUGGUCGAUGAAGACGUAAUGUUUCAGAAGCUGCAAAAGCAAAGACUCAUGGGAUUGCGGGUCCCGCGGUUGAUGAGCAAGAAUAGGCGGGAACAGUGAAAAGCAGAAUAGCUUCCUUUCCAUCAGUGGACUAAAGGCUCCAUUCCGGCUUCAGAACAGGUUUGGGGGAUAAAAUAAAUCUGAAGUUGGUUGAGUUAGGAACUAAGAAGAAGCUGAAUGAGAAAUAUAUAUAUAUAUAUAUAUAUAUAUAUAUAUAUAUAUAUUUGGUUAAAACGCAAGUAGGCUUUACAGAUGAACUUGCUCCGUACGCGACUUGUGUGCUUCAGCCGGCCUGAGCUCAGCGGCGAGGGUCAAAGCGAAGCCGGAGCCGGGGGGGCGCUGAGGCGUAAAGCCGAGUCACUGGUGGAAACUAGCUGGUUAGUGGCUGCUGAGCGCCGAGGAGGGGAAUCGGCUGCAGGAGUUAGUCGCUGAGAAGCAGGAGAAGCAGGAGAAGAGGAGGCGUGAGGCAGUCUGCUGGGCUCAAGGCAGGAGAAGCUGCAGAGGAGCGUAGAAGCUGGGAGGCUCAGGGUGGGCGGUGGGUUGGGACACCCUCCCCCCCC